CCAAUAGCGUAUAUUAAAGUUGUUGCAGUUAAAAAGCUCGUAGUUGAAUUUCGGGACCAAUUUGUUGGUCGUGCCUCGGUACGUACUGGUAUUAUUGGUUUUUCCCUUCUGAAGAACCUCGAUGCCAUUAAUUUGGUGUCGUGGGGAAUCAGGACUGUUACUUUGAAAAAAUUAGAGUGUUUAAAGCAAGCAUACGCUUGAAUACAUUAGCAUGGAAUAAUGAAAUAGGAAGCUUGAUUCUAUUUUGUUGGUUUCUAGGAUCGACGUAAUGAUUAAUAGGGAUGGUUGGGGGCAUUAGUAUUCAAUUGUCAGAGGUGAAAUUCUUGGAUUUAUUGAAGACUAACUACUGCGAAAGCAUUUGCCAAGGAUGUUUUCAUUAAUCAAGAACGAAAGUUGGGGGAUCGAAGACGAUCAGAUACCGUCGUAGUCUUAACCAUAAACUAUGCCGACUAGGGAUCGGAUGAUGUUAAUUUUUUAAUGACUCAUUCGGCGCCUUACG
This 499-nucleotide ribosomal RNA is filed under the name uncultured Glomeromycotina. Its description in RNAcentral is "partial small subunit ribosomal RNA". It matches the Rfam family "Eukaryotic small subunit ribosomal RNA", at positions 591 to 1092 of the family's 1831-position model. Lineage: Eukaryota; Fungi; Glomeromycota. The record is from RNAcentral.